UACGGAGGGUGCAAGCGUUGUCCGGAAUCACUGGGUGUAAAGGGUGUGUAGGCGGGCGUGUAAGUCAGGGGUGAAAGCCCACAGCUCAACUGUGGAAUUGCCUUUGAUACUGCACGUCUUGAGUCCCGGAGGGGUCACUGGAAUUCGUGGUGUAGCGGUGAAAUGCGUAGAUAUCACGAGGAACACCGGAGGUGUAGACGGGUGACUGGACGGCGACUGACGCUGAGGCACGAAAGCGUGGGGAGCAAAC
RNAcentral lists this ribosomal RNA (250 nucleotides) under uncultured bacterium. RNAcentral describes it as "partial 16S ribosomal RNA". It matches the Rfam family "Bacterial small subunit ribosomal RNA", at positions 524 to 773 of the family's 1533-position model. The record is from RNAcentral.